AUUGAUUUGCGGGGGGACUUAUUAGUUGAGAAGGUUAAAACCUGACCCUUUGAACCUGUUAGUUAAUACUAACGUAGGGAAGCUAGGCGUUUCGGCUA
Molecule: non-coding RNA, 98 nt
Filed under: Acetobacterium woodii
Lineage: Bacteria; Bacillati; Bacillota; Clostridia; Eubacteriales; Eubacteriaceae
Also listed under: 1 other name
Description: TPP sequence
Rfam family: TPP riboswitch aptamer (THI element)
About the family: Vitamin B(1) in its active form thiamin pyrophosphate (TPP) is an essential coenzyme that is synthesised by coupling of pyrimidine and thiazole moieties in bacteria.
Source: RNAcentral